CGACGUGUAGCUCAACAGCGAGAGCACUGGGCUUCUAACCCGGAGGGAGCAGGGGCAGCACCUGCCGCGUCGG
RNAcentral lists this transfer RNA (73 nucleotides) under Arthrobacter sp. W4I7. RNAcentral's name for it is "tRNA-Arg". It matches the Rfam family "tRNA". From Rfam's summary of the family: Transfer RNA (tRNA) molecules are approximately 80 nucleotides in length. Their secondary structure includes four short double-helical elements and three loops (D, anti-codon, and T loops). Lineage: Bacteria; Bacillati; Actinomycetota; Actinomycetes; Micrococcales; Micrococcaceae. The record is from RNAcentral.